RNAcentral lists this ribosomal RNA (495 nucleotides) under uncultured bacterium. Its description in RNAcentral is "bacterial SSU rRNA". It matches the Rfam family "Bacterial small subunit ribosomal RNA", at positions 355 to 863 of the family's 1533-position model. The record is from RNAcentral.
UCGGGAAUUUUGCCCAAUGGACGAAAGUCUGAGGCAGCAACUCCGCGUGAGGGAUGAAGGCCUUCGGGUCGUAAACCUCUUUUCUCAGGGAAGAUACAAGACGGUACCUGAGGAAUAAGCCACGGCUAACUCUGUGCCAGCAGCCGCGGUAAGACAGAGGGGGCAAGCGUUGUCCGGAAUCACUGGGCGUAAAGCGCACGCAGGCGGCCAGGCAAGUGGUGUGUGACACCGGACGGCUUAACCGUCCGACGCCAUGCCAGACUGCCGGGCUCGAGCCGUGCAGAGGUCAGCGGAAUUGCCGGUGUAGGAGUGACAUCCGUAGAGACCGGCAGGGAACACCGAUGGGGGAAGCCAGCUGACUGGGCACCGGCUGACGCUCAGGUGCGACAGCGUGGGGAGUGAACCGGAUUAGAUACCCGGGUAGUCCACGCCGUAAACGAUGGAUGCUCGCCCUGUGGGGGUCUUAAGCCCUGCGAGGCUUAGCUAACGCGGUAA